Long non-coding RNA from Mastomys coucha (southern multimammate mouse), 462 nucleotides. RefSeq lists it as uncharacterized. NCBI's taxonomy places the organism in Eukaryota, Metazoa, Chordata, Mammalia, Rodentia, Muridae. The record is from RefSeq and is a predicted model, not a curated record. The transcript is spliced from 4 exons.
UCUCAGAGAAGACAAAAAUGGAGAAGAGUUUUCUAGAGGAUGAAUGGAAAUAACACAGGAAGUAGACCAGAGGGCUCUGAGGGAGCUGUCUUCGAACAUUUUCUCACUCUUGGAAGAGAAAGGUGUGGAUAUGAUUAUGGCUGAGCAUCUGAGCAAAUCAAAUUUUACACAAUCAAAUCUAAGGGAAACUUGCUCUUUCCUGCCCAUGCUGAAAAUAUCUAAGGCUCUCCACGAGCUCAGCUUUAACAUCUUCAUGGGUGGCUUCAAGCGGUUGCCAUUUUUACCAUGUGCAGAGUGAUAGCUUCUCCGUGCUUUUCAAGCAGCACAAUGAUUAAAAUUCUGCGAGGCAGCCUCGAACAUACACAGUCAAGUUGCGAAGAAUUCAAAGCUUACCAACUUCUUGUAGGCAAGUAGCAUCUCAGCCAUUCAAAUAUUCAUGAGAGAAUAAAUAACUCUGGGAGA